AUACGUAGGGGGCGAGCGUUGUCCGGAAUGAUUGGGCGUAAAGGGCGCGUAGGCGGCGCGGUAAGUCUGGAGUGAAAGUCCUGCUUUCAAGGUGGGAAUUGCUUUGGAUACUGCCGCGCUUGAGUGCAGGAGAGGUUAUCGGAAUUCCCGGUGUAGCGGUGAAAUGCGUAGAGAUCGGGAGGAACACCAGUGGCGAAGGCGGGUAACUGGACUGAAACUGACGCUGAGGCGCGAAAGUGUGGGGAGCAAACAGGAUUAGAUACCCUGGUAGUCCACACUGUAAACGAUGAAUGCUAGGUGUAAGAGGUAUCGACCCCUUUUGUGCCGGAGUCAACACAAUAAGCAUUCCGCCUGGGGAGUACGGCCGCAAGGUUGAAACUCAAAUGAAUUGACGGGG
RNAcentral lists this ribosomal RNA (397 nucleotides) under uncultured bacterium. Its description in RNAcentral is "partial 16S ribosomal RNA". It matches the Rfam family "Bacterial small subunit ribosomal RNA", at positions 523 to 918 of the family's 1533-position model. The record is from RNAcentral.